This 68-nucleotide transfer RNA is filed under the name Onthophagus rhinolophus. Its description in RNAcentral is "tRNA-Cys". Lineage: Eukaryota; Metazoa; Arthropoda; Insecta; Coleoptera; Scarabaeidae. The record is from RNAcentral.
AGUUUUAUAGUUUAAUUAAAAAUAUUAAAUUGCAAAUUUAAAGAUGGUUAUUUUAUAUCUUAAGGCUU